CCUACGGGUGGCAGCAGUGAGGAAUAUUGGUCAAUGGGCGCGAGCCUGAACCAGCCAAGUCGCGUGAGGGAAGACGGUCCUAUGGAGUGUAAACCUCUUUUGUCGGGGAGCAAAAGACGCCACGCGUGGCGUUCCGAGAGUACCCGAAGAAAAAGCAUCGGCUAACUACGUGCCAGCAGCCGCGGUAAUACGGAGGAUGCGAGCUGUAUACGGAGUUAUUGGGGUUACAGGGUGCGCAGGCGGAAGAUCAAGUCAGCGGUAAAAUUGAUAGGCUCAACCUCUUCGAGCCGUUGAAACUGGUUUUCUUGAGUGAGUGAGAAGUAUGCGGAAUGCGUGGUGUAGCGGUGAAAUGCAUAGAUAUCACGCAGAACUCCGAUUGCGAAGGCAGCAUACCGGCGCUCAACUGACGCUCAUGCACGAAAGUGUGGGUAGCGAACAGGAUUAGAUACCCUUGUAGUC
Molecule: ribosomal RNA, 459 nt
Filed under: uncultured bacterium
Lineage: Bacteria
Description: partial 16S ribosomal RNA
Rfam family: Bacterial small subunit ribosomal RNA
Source: RNAcentral